This 459-nucleotide ribosomal RNA is filed under the name uncultured bacterium. RNAcentral describes it as "partial 16S ribosomal RNA". It matches the Rfam family "Bacterial small subunit ribosomal RNA", at positions 338 to 795 of the family's 1533-position model. The record is from RNAcentral.
CCUACGGGAGGCAGCAGUGAGGAAUAUUGGUCAAUGGGCGGAAGCCUGAACCAGCCAAGUAGCGUGCGGGAUGCAGGCCCUACGGGUCGUCAACCGCUUUUGCACGGGGAUAACACCCUCCACUUGUGGAGGUCUGCAGGUACCGUGCGAAUAAGGGCCGGCUAAUUCCGUGCCAGCAGCCGCGGUCAUCCGGAAGGCCCGAGCGUUAUCCGGAUUCAUUGGGGUUAAAGGAAGCGUAGGCGGGCGUUCAAGUCAGCUGUAAAAUCGCGCGGCUCAACCGCGCCCCGCAGUUGAAACUGGACGCCUUGAGUUCACAACAGGCAGGCGGAAUUCGUGGUGUAGCGGUGAAAUGCAUAGAUAUCACGAGGAACCCCGAUUGCGAAGGCAGCCUGCCGGGGUGCGACUGACGCUGAGGCUCGAAGGUGCGGGUAUCAAACAGGAUUAGAUACCCGAGUAGUC